Molecule: ribosomal RNA, 745 nt
Filed under: Cellulophaga sp. AU331_Ted2_MB
Lineage: Bacteria; Pseudomonadati; Bacteroidota; Flavobacteriia; Flavobacteriales; Flavobacteriaceae
Description: bacterial SSU rRNA
Rfam family: Bacterial small subunit ribosomal RNA
Source: RNAcentral
AGUCGAGGGGUAACAGAGGAGCUUGCUCUUGCUGACGACCGGCGCACGGGUGCGUAACGCGUAUACAAUCUGCCUUACACUAAGGGAUAGCCCAGAGAAAUUUGGAUUAACACCUUAUAGUUUAUUUUUAUGGCAUCAUUUAAAUAAUAAAGUUUACGGUGUAAGAUGAGUAUGCGUCCCAUUAGUUUGUUGGUAAGGUAACGGCUUACCAAGACUACGAUGGGUAGGGGCCCUGAGAGGGGGAUCCCCCACACUGGUACUGAGACACGGACCAGACUCCUACGGGAGGCAGCAGUGAGGAAUAUUGGACAAUGGAGGAGACUCUGAUCCAGCCAUGCCGCGUGCAGGAAGACGGUCCUAUGGAUUGUAAACUGCUUUUAUACAGGAAGAAUAAGGACUACGUGUAGUCUGGUGACGGUACUGUAAGAAUAAGGACCGGCUAACUCCGUGCCAGCAGCCGCGGUAAUACGGAGGGUCCGAGCGUUAUCCGGAAUUAUUGGGUUUAAAGGGUCCGUAGGCGGGCUGUUAAGUCAGGGGUGAAAGUUUGCAGCUCAACUGUAGAAUUGCCUUUGAUACUGAUGGUCUUGAAUUAUUGUGAAGUGGUUAGAAUAUGUAGUGUAGCGGUGAAAUGCAUAGAUAUUACAUAGAAUACCGAUUGCGAAGGCAGAUCACUAACAAUUGAUUGACGCUGAUGGACGAAAGCGUGGGUAGCGAACAGGAUUAGAUACCCUGGUAGUCCACGCCG